GGUCAGUUCACUGACACGGUGGGGGGGGGUCUCCACUCAGUGACCAUACUCGGUGGGCUACAUGCAUAUUGAAACAGCACAGAUACCUGUUAGAAUCAUGGAGCCUACAUGAUCACCUCAGGGACCAUAAUCAGAUGGGAAGAAAAACCAAAAAAGGACUUUGAAUCAACGAAGCCCAAAGUCAAGUAGAGUUACACAGAGCAAGGAGCCCGGCAACAACCAGACUGCCUUACAAUAAAGGAAAGGCCGUAAGUCGCAAAGACCGGAAGACAUUACGUCCUGAGUCUCGGCUCCCCACAGUGGCUUUCUUGUCCAUUUCUUUAUUUUCAGCAGUUUCUCGAGAAGUCUACGGCAUCCCCGGGAAGAGGCCAAGUCCUCAGCCGUGGCCACUACCACAAGAGCAUCUGAAAAUCCCCAGACGAGUGAACUGCAUCCCUUUAACAGCCUUUGAAAGCCCUACGACGGCCUCCCGGCAGCCACAAGCAGUCCCGUGAGCAGCUCUCCUCCACGGCUCGCUCGGUGCAGGGCUGGGGAAGAAAUACAUAAUUUAUGCAGGCAAUUACACAUCAAUUGGUUAUUAAAAGUGCCCUCGAUGAGAUGCGCUGUGUUGAGGAUGCGAGAUAAAUCUGGUUCCCCAGGUAACCAGCGCGCGCCCCAGACAGAAGGCGCAGGCUCCAAUCUGAUCUGCUCACGUUCUCUUGACCCAGCCACUCCACCUGCAGCGUGGCCCUGCCUGGCGUGGGUGGGCAAGCAGAGCCACCAGG
Molecule: long non-coding RNA, 764 nt
Organism: Tupaia belangeri chinensis (Chinese tree shrew)
Lineage: Eukaryota; Metazoa; Chordata; Mammalia; Scandentia; Tupaiidae
Exons: 3
Source: RefSeq, a predicted model, not a curated record